This is an RNA transcript of Columba livia (rock pigeon), 1180 nucleotides long. RefSeq lists it as uncharacterized. The record is from RefSeq and is a predicted model, not a curated record. The transcript has 4 exons. Lineage: Eukaryota; Metazoa; Chordata; Aves; Columbiformes; Columbidae.
AUGCCUCGUCGGGGAGGAGGGAGAAAGAGGGAGCCCCGGGGCGGCCGCCUCGCAGCAGCGGGCAGCAGGGAAGGAGGGGGGGUCUCCAGGCGCGGGUCCCGCCGCCGCUGCUGCCGGCUCGCUCGAGAGGCGGAGGAGCCGCCAGCCGCUGCCUCUCCCGAGCGCUGGCUGUGGGGGACGAUCGCGCCGCGGGCCCCCUCCCCGACCCCCCCGAAAAGCCCUCUCUUAAAGGAGCCCCGCGGUCCUGCUCGUCUCAAGCCCGUCGCUGCUCCGUGGCAGGAGGAGCCAUUGACACUGCCAGAGACACACACUCACGGGGAGGCAGCUGCUAGAGGCCGUGCUCCGCCAAUCGCCGCCUCCCACACAGGCGGCUGGCAGCCGCGCGGCCAAUCCCCGCGCCUCUUGUAUGGGGCGCGGGGUGGGGAGGGGCGGGCGAGCGGCUCGGCGCGGGGUGGGGUGGCGGAGCGCGAUAUAAGGGCCGGGGAGGCGUGUGGCGGCGGCUGCGUGGGGCGGUGCGAGCGGCCAUGGUGGGGCUGGUGCUCUGCUCGGUGGGCGCCGUUGCAGCGUGAGGAGACGGCGCGGGCGCCGGACCUGAGGCGGGCGGUGGCGGGCGCGGGCUCUGUGAGGGCAGCCCGGGUGCGUGUCGCUGCCUGCCUGCACCUCAGCUGCUGCUGGGGCCUUGGUGGAGCCUUCCUGUGGGGAGCGCGGCGGGACUGGGAGCGUGAGGGACCCGAGGGCCCGCAGCCCUUUGCUGAGGCUGGAUGUGCCACGGGAGGGAAGGAGAAAUCACUCAGUAAAGUGCAUGGUAAAAUCCAACAAAUAAGGAAGAUACCUUCUCUUUGCAGGGUUGCUCAGGGAUCUGCUUUUAACACUGCAAAGGUUCGAUGCCCUAAAACAAGCUACAGAAUCGUGGUUGGUUGAUGCAGAGGCAAAAUCAUUAUGUUCUAAUCAUUUGCUAUUGAAGACAACAAAGAAAACGACUUUGGGUAAAAUAUCCAUAUCUGUAGUAGCAGAAGUCCAAGAGGUAGUUACCUCUGCUGAAGAUUUUGUGACUCUUGGUAGCAAUGACAAUUUGCGUUCAUAUCCUUGAUUGAAAUUCCACCUCCCCGUCCUUGUGCAGCGAGGAUGUGCCAGUUGCCAGCCCGGCUGCCGUCUCCUGGCCUCCUGCGCCCGAAAGGAG